UUCGCCCUUAAAGUUUGAUCCUGGCUCAGGACGAACGCUGGCGGCGUGCUUAACACAUGCAAGUCGAACGGAGGUUAUCAGGAAUCUUGCGAAUUGUUACCUUAGUGGCGGACGGGUGAGUAACGCGUGGAUAACCUGCCUGACAGACCGGGACAACACCGGGAAACUGGUGCUAAUACCGGAUACGCUCACGAGUGCCCAUGCACACUUGAGGAAAGGAGCAAUCCGCUGCCAGAGGGGUCCGCGUCCCAUUAGCUAGUUGGAGGUGUAAAGGACCACCAAGUCGACGAUGGGUAGCCGGCCUGAGAGGGUGGACUGCCACACUGGAACUGAGACACGGUCCAGACUCUUACGGGAGGCAGCAGUGGGGAAUCUUCCGCAAUGGGCGAAAGCCCGACGCAGCAACGCCGCGUGAGUGAUUAAGGCCUUCGGGUAUUAAAACUCUGUCAUCAGGGAAGAAAAUAAUGACGGUACCCGAGGAGGAAGCCCCGGCUAACUACGUGCCAGCACCCGCGGUAAAACGUAGGGGGCGAGCGUUGUUUGGAAUUACUGGGCGUAAAGGGCGCGUAGGCGGUUGUCCAAGUCUGAGGUGAAAACUCUGGGCUCAACUCAGAGCGUGCCUCGGAAACUGGGCGACUUGAGGGCAGGAGAGGGGAGUGGAAUUCCCAGUGUAGCGGUGAAAUGCGUAGAUAUUGGGAGGAACACCAGUGGCGAAGGCGACUCUCUGGCCUGUAUCUGACGCUGAGGCGCGAAAGCGUGGGGAGCGAACAGGAUUAGAUACCCCGGUAGUCCACGCCGUAAACGAU
Molecule: ribosomal RNA, 806 nt
Filed under: uncultured bacterium
Lineage: Bacteria
Description: bacterial SSU rRNA
Rfam family: Bacterial small subunit ribosomal RNA
Source: RNAcentral